UCCAGCUGAACGUCACCAUAGUACCUGGCUGGUCAUCAAAUGCACAAAUUUCAGAAUGCAUAAUUUUUGUCCCUGUUCGUGCCCAGCAGGAAGUUAGGGGAUUUGCCUAAAUGGGGUUUUCAGACCCCAUUUAGCUUGUGGGGUGUGAAUGAUGCUGGAGAGGUCAUCUGUAGGAGAGCAGCUGCUGUCUGGGAGCAGGAGAGCCCGGCUGCCAUGGAAACCAUGCCUUCAAACACCCUGAACUUGCAGCACUAGCCUUGGGAGAGGAUUCCAGUGGUGAAGCUCAAAGAACGGGAUGCUGGAGGCGGUGUAAAGGUGGAGAAGUGGGAAGGUGUAAGGUUGACUGUGGCAGGAACAUGUCUGGGCUGUUCAGCCAAGACACUGCACAAGGACCUUAAUCUGUCAUACUGGAAAAUUUAAGAUCAGGGUUUUUUUCUACAAAGAAAGUGCUGAGGUGAAAGACUGCAAAUUGCAGUUUAAGAGUUGAACACCAGAAGAAUCUUGGAAGGACAAAAGUUGUGGAAGCUAUUAGGAAGGUGGACUGAGAGAAAAAUACCAUUCUCCUUUUGAGAAUAACAGGAUCUGUGUCAGUGAAAACAGAUGGAAACAGAAUUGUACAUAGGACCAAUGACCCUGGUGUGAAGAUGAUGAGAAAACUUCACUUAGGAGGUGACUACAUCUACAGAUGUGCUAAAAAGGUGGAACUGUACUGCCUUGAGACAAAGCUGAAAUGGGGUUUUCUGUGAAGAACUGAGCAGGUUAGACAACUGCAAUUCCAGAUAAAACACCAGCAGUCAAGGUUGUGUAAGUACAAGCUGGGGAAAGAGCAUGCCACAGAACAUACUCUGGCAUGGGCAAGUAGUAACAGGCAUCAAGCCAUGGUGCUAAUCCUUCUUCAUCAGGAUAAUGCUAUGUCCUGGUGCAUACAAGUUCCUAAAUGAUGACACUGACUGGAGUGACCUUUAGGAAGCCCUCUCAAAUCAUUAGGCCUAAUUCUUCUUGUGAUUAUGUUACUUUAACUUCAGAGCUACUGCACUGACUUCAAGGCAGUUGGUUUGGAUUUACAUCUCUCAAGCUGGCCUAUUAUUUCCUGUAUUGUUUCCAGUUGCAUGAAAUCAUCUGUGCAUGUCCUCCAGGGCUGCUGAAACCCUCUGUCCUCCCCAGCACUACACAUGAUGCAAUGAGCCUCUGAUGGAGGAGGAAAGUCGAGAAGUCCAUGUAGGGAAGCAGAUAAUUUCCUUUA
Empidonax traillii (willow flycatcher) is the source of this 1243-nucleotide long non-coding RNA. RefSeq lists it as uncharacterized. NCBI's taxonomy places the organism in Eukaryota, Metazoa, Chordata, Aves, Passeriformes, Tyrannidae. The transcript has 5 exons. The record is from RefSeq and is a predicted model, not a curated record.